Molecule: ribosomal RNA, 464 nt
Filed under: uncultured bacterium
Lineage: Bacteria
Description: bacterial SSU rRNA
Rfam family: Bacterial small subunit ribosomal RNA
Source: RNAcentral
AACGCUGGCGGCGUGCUUAACACAUGCAAGUCGAACGGUGACGAGGAGCUUGCUCCUCUGAUCAGUGGCGAACGGGUGAGUAACACGUGAGCAGCCUGCCCCAGACUCUGGGAUAACAGUUGGAAACAGCUGCUAAUACCGGAUACGAGACGGAGAGGCAUCUCUACCGUCUGGAAAGUUUUUCGGUCUGGGAUGGACUCGCGGCCUAUCAGCUAGUUGGUGAGGUAAAUGGCUCACCAAGGGCGACGACGGGUAGCCGGCCUGAGAGGGCGACCGGCCACACUGGGACUGAGACACGGCCCAGACUCCUACGGGAGGCAGCAGUGGGGAAUAUUGCACAAUGGGCGAAAGCCUGAUGCAGCGACGCCGCGUGAGGGAUGAAGGCCUUCGGGUUGUAAACCUCUUUCAGCAGGGAAGAAGCGAAAGUGACGGUACCUGCAGAAGAAGCACCGGCUAACUACGUG